GGCCCCGCGGGCGUUCCCGGUGGAGCGGCUCGCCUGCAAAGCGAGUGGACACGUCUCGGUUCGACUCCGAGCGGGGCCUC
RNAcentral lists this small RNA (80 nucleotides) under Actinocatenispora thailandica. RNAcentral's name for it is "tRNA-Cys". It matches the Rfam family "Selenocysteine transfer RNA". Lineage: Bacteria; Bacillati; Actinomycetota; Actinomycetes; Micromonosporales; Micromonosporaceae. The record is from RNAcentral.